Molecule: long non-coding RNA, 409 nt
Organism: Fopius arisanus
Lineage: Eukaryota; Metazoa; Arthropoda; Insecta; Hymenoptera; Braconidae
Exons: 3
Source: RefSeq, a predicted model, not a curated record
AUUAUAACCACAAAUACCGCAACAUUUGGCGGGGAGCACUGGUGGUUAUGCCAAAAAAUAUAUAAAAGCCCACAAUCACCUGCGAAGAUUUGACAGGUCGAGAAAACCGCCAAGACGCCACUCGUAGAAUUCAGAUUAUAAUUUUUCUGGAGUUUUAGGUUAUCUGUCAAAUGGAGGGAUAAAUUGUCCACCGGGGUUGACAGAUAAUUGUUAUUGUUAUUAACUAAUGCUUUUAUUUAUUUACCAGAGAUCGACAUGGAGGCGGAGAUUUUAAAGACCAAUCAGAGAUCCCUCCGUAUGCAAGUGAGGAAUGACCUCAUGUACAUUAUAAAUCGUUAUUACCUAAUUGUACGAUUAAAAUUCUUGUGCAUUUAUUCAUUAAUUGGGGAAAUAUUAGAGUAGGUUUCGA